CAAAACGACGCCGUUUUAGGAUAUGAUCAAUCCUGACCGUCUAGGUUUCUCAAUCUAAUGGUACGAAACUGAUGGAUUAAUACUAUAUAUAUGUCCAAAUAACCCCCUAGCCUCCCUCUUUCCAUCGUCUCUCAUAUCACCUCUUUAAUUCAAGCAUAACACCACCGUUCACCACCAUCCCCGCUUUGAGCCGCCGGCUAGAAAUCAUCUCCGCCGGCGACAAUUGGCCAAUAUCCGCAAAAAUUACACAACGUCCUCCUCUCAUCCUCCUCAUUACGGAUCCAAACCACUUUCCCCUCAAAUCCCACUUGAUUUGUUCAAAUAUACGAAACCCUAGCGUCGCCUCCGUCGUGUGCGGCGGCGCCACCUCCAAACCCAACCAAAAUCACACCUCAUGGCCUCCUCGACCCCCUCUUCCUGAAUUCCAAACCAAUUUCCUUCAAACCUAGCCAAAAAUGCUCAAAUCCUAGAUGUAGGAUUUAGAUUUGGGGUCUCAAGGAAUUUCUACCUGCUUAGAUGUUUACCGGUGGGCGGCUGAUCUUCAUACGAUGUUGUUUGCUUAUUCUUGGCAAAGAAUAGGGAAAUAACAUCAUUUAGGGAUCAAUUUGAAGAGACGGUUAAGAUUAAUUUUGAAGUCGUGUAAGUAUCUUCAUCUUGUAGCCUUGUUUACUGUUAUUUGCUUUAUUGUUUAGCUUUUGUCUAGUUCCUAUUGAUUUUUCUUCUCCAGUAUGUAAUUUAGAGAAUUUUAAUUAGAAUUAAUUUUGUCAUGCUACUUGUUUGUUCUAGGAUUUUGUUUCUAUUGAUUUAAGUUUAGUUUGGUUAAUUAGUAUUCCUGCCUGCUCUUUGAUUUUUGUUUGCAUGUAUUCUGAUUUUUAAUUUCUUAUUUUUAGUUUGAUUUUUGUUUCAUUUUUGGGUUUUAUGUUAAUUAAAAUCUUGUUUGGAUAUAGUUGAGUAAUUCCCAGCCUUUGAUUAAUCAACUAUGGUCUUUUUUGACCAAGUUCAAAAGGUCUAGGGUUAGUUUGACAUAGGUUAGUAAUUUUAGGAUUAAUUCAAGGGUAGUAUAGACUUUUAGAUAAAAAGAAAUCUUGCAGUAACAGAUUAGGAACACUCUAGGACCUUCUAGAUAGGGUGUUAAUUUGAAAAUUCAACAAGUAAAUGCAGUAACUUGAGAAACAAGUCAAGAGUUUAGGGACUAAUGUAUAAAACUGAAAAUAAAAGAGGGUGGGAAUGGGUAAUGAAAUCUAGAAGCUUCCCUUUCAUUUUCUGCCUAUAAAAUGCACCCCUUUGCCUUCUUUCAGAAGUUUUGAACCUUGAAAAUUUUCCAAAAGUUCCGGCUCUGAAAAUUCCCCCAAAAAUACUCCUAAUUCAAAUCUCUGCAAUUUGAAAUUCAAAAUCCAAAAGCAAGCAAUUGAAGUUCGAUCUCUAUCUUUCGAAAGUUCAGAAAAUAAUACCAAAAACUCUAUUUUACUGUAGUUCCCGGUCCAAAUUUAAAUUCUAGUUCCUACUUAAAAAUUCUAGUUUACUUAAGGGUUAAGUAGCCUAGCUCCCUUGGUUAUGAUUAAUAUUUGAGGUUUUAAAGACUACUGGGUUAAUUACAUGCUAAAUUUGGUUUUGUUCGAGUCAAUUUUGGUUGCAUAAUGGUUUUUCAUGGUUGAAUUCCAAGAUGAAAUUACUGUUGUUGUGGUUUGAUAUUUGAACUGCUGCUGACCUCCUUCGCCUCCUUUAUUUCAUUGUAAUUCCAGUUAUUCUUCAACUUCGAAUAUGUGAAGGACCAAAUUCGAAUUGCUGAAUAAAUGACCAAUUCCUCAUGUUGAUUUCAAGUUUAGCUUAUUACCAUACCUGUUUGUUCACAUGUUGGAUUGUAUAAUAAUAGCAUUUGAUAUUAAUUGCAUAUAACAUGACUGUUCAACCAGAUGUAUAAUUGGACAGUGUAAUAGAUUUAAUUGUAGAGUAUGUUAGUUCGUAUGUUAGCAUAUGUAUAGCUCAUGAUGCCUGUAAAAUCAGGACUAUUGUAGAUCGCAAAAAAUAAUUACAUUUCAAUAAAAUAGGAUCCUUGAAUUUGAUGUUAAGCAGUUCAGUUUCGUCUUUUAAAAGAUUUCGCUAGUUUAGAUCUGAAGAGCAAAUUUAUAAUUAAAUUGAUAAUUGUACUGAAUUUGAAUGUUUCUUUAUAUUUGUUAUUCCAAUCGAUGGGUCUGAGUUGUUUGAGGCUGUUUCUCUAUUUUUUUUGGGCUUAUUCAUAAGCCCAAGGUUGAUAGCUCGUACCACUUGUGUUGAGCCACAACAUACAGAUGUCAGGUCUCCUACCAUACUUACUUGGUAGCCAUCACAAAUGCAACACCUUAUGCUGAUGGGCCAACAUCAAGGACCUGAACUUGCAUUGGGUUCGGAGGUUUAAAUUCUUAACGAAGGGUUUGGGCCUUCCAAGCUAGGCAGCAUAUUUGAAUUAAGAGGCUAUACUCUUGUUCAAGUGUGGUCCUGAGCUUGAGGCCCGAAUUCUUUGAAUACUUUCUAAUAAAUAGCCAAUUAGCAACGCUAAUUAAUUAGGCCCUAUUAGAGACAAAUUCAAUAGAAAAUAAUAGUUUGCUCUAGGUUGGCCUUCUAGAAAUAAAAAUGAGGUGCGCCGCGCCAAAUAAAACUCACCAAUUGUGUGGCCCUCUUUAAAUUUUUAUAUUAAAAUAUGUAGAACUUGGGACGAGUCGUUCAGCGAAUUUCCACGGUCUUCCGCAAAGUUAAUAACAUGUUAGUCGCUUUAGGCGCGUCCUUUAAUAACUUUACCUUCCUAAAUACGGGUGUGCAUUUCAUGUGACCCAAAUCAAGUCCCAAAAUAUUAGAUAAAAUGUGUCAAGGAUUCUGGUGCAUUUCAUGUGACGUGAUCCAAAAACAUGUUUUCAACGACAAUUUCCCAAAAAAUUAUUAAUGUAUAGUGGUAAAUAAUCCCUAAAACGGCACUAUAGGAUUGCAUGUACUAAAAUCAGAUUUUUAGCCAAUUAUAUUAGUUAGAGACCGUGCUAGAACCACGGGACCUGGGGAUGCCUAACACUUUCCCUCAGGUCAACAGAAUUCCUUACUUAGAAUUUCUGGUUCGCAGACUCCAUUUGGAAAGUCGAAAAAUUUCCUCGUUUUGGGAUUCAAAACAAACCGGUGACUUGGGACACCAAAAUAGAAGCCUAUCCCAAGU
RNAcentral lists this long non-coding RNA (3178 nucleotides) under Nicotiana benthamiana. Its description in RNAcentral is "long non-coding RNA (NBEN_LNC041414)". Lineage: Eukaryota; Viridiplantae; Streptophyta; Magnoliopsida; Solanales; Solanaceae. The record is from RNAcentral.